GGUUUAGGAUUUUCUGCUCAUGAAAUUUAAAUGGCCGCAGUACUUUGACUGUGCUAAGGUAGCAUAAUCAAUUGUCUCUUAAUUGGAGACUAGAAUGAAUGAAUUUAUGGUUAAAUUCUUUAUUUAUAUAUUUUAUUAAAAUUUAUUUAUUAGGUGAAAAUACCUAAGUAAUUUUAUUAGACGAGAAGACCCCAGGAAUUUAAAUUUUAUUUUUUAUUGGGGCGAUAUCUAAACAAUUAACAAAAACUUUAGAUUUUUAUAAUAAAACGAAAGAUUUUAAUUAAAAAUAAAUUACCCUGGGGAUAACAGCAUAAUUUUUUAUAAAGAUUGUGACCUCGAUGUUGGAUUAGAAAAAAAUUUUACUUAAAGAGUAAUUUUUUAUGUUCUGUUCGAACAAUAAUAAUUUUUCUACGUGAUCUGAGUUCCAACC
This 430-nucleotide ribosomal RNA is filed under the name Succinea caduca. Its description in RNAcentral is "partial 16S ribosomal RNA". Lineage: Eukaryota; Metazoa; Mollusca; Gastropoda; Stylommatophora; Succineidae. The record is from RNAcentral.